ACGAACGCUGGCGGCGUGCUUAACACCUGCAAGUCGAACGGAAAGGCCCUGCUUGCAGGGUACUCGAGUGGCGAACGGGUGAGUAACACGGGGGUGAUCUGCCCUGCACUUCGGGAUAAGCCUGGGAAACUGGGUCUAAUACCGGAUAGGAGCCAUUUUUAGUGUGAUGGUUGGAAAGUUUUUUCGGUGUAGGAUGAGCUCGCGGCCUAUCAGCUUGUUGGUGGGGUAAUGGCCUACCAAGGCGGCGACGGGUAGCCGGCCUGGGAGGGUGGACGGCCACAUUGGGACUGGGAUACGGCCCAGACUCCUACGGGAGGCAGCAGUGGGGAAUAUUGCACAAUGGGCGCAAGCCUGAUGCAGCGACGCCGCGUGGGGGAUGACGGCCUUCGGGUUGUAAACUCCUUUCGCUAGGGACGAAGCUUUUUGUGACGGUACCUAGAUAAGAAGCACCGGCUAACUACGUG
Molecule: ribosomal RNA, 464 nt
Filed under: uncultured bacterium
Lineage: Bacteria
Description: partial 16S ribosomal RNA
Rfam family: Bacterial small subunit ribosomal RNA
Source: RNAcentral